AGAUUUUGAAUUGUAAGCAAAAUCAGGGGAGAGCGCGAACGCAGUCCCCCACUACCAGAAAUUAUGCAGUCGAGAUUCCCACAUUUGGGGAAUUCGCAGGGGUCAGCACAACCGGAGUGCAAUGGCUGAGCCUCACCCUGGGUGAACCACCUUCUUGAUCAUGGUAUCUCCCCUGCCAGGUAAGUAUGAGUUGUACACGGUCGCCGGGCCGAUGUCUUUACCACACACACCAUCUUCAGUCACGGUCUUAUUUGGUACAAACGUGUGAACUCACUCAGUGGAUAAGGUAGCAUUCGAAGAACUGUUUACAUAGUACUUUUUAUCAUUACAGUAAUCAAACCAUUAUAAAUUAUGUUUAAAAACAAUAUUCUGCAAAAUA
This is a long non-coding RNA of Syngnathus acus (greater pipefish), 379 nucleotides long. RefSeq lists it as uncharacterized. The transcript has 3 exons. The record is from RefSeq and is a predicted model, not a curated record. NCBI's taxonomy places the organism in Eukaryota, Metazoa, Chordata, Actinopteri, Syngnathiformes, Syngnathidae.